RNAcentral lists this ribosomal RNA (292 nucleotides) under uncultured bacterium. RNAcentral's name for it is "partial 16S ribosomal RNA". The record is from RNAcentral.
GGACUACCAGGGUAUCUAAUCCUUUUCGCUACCCACGCUUUCGUGUUUCAGUGUCAGGAAUGGCCCAAUGUGCUGCCUUCGCUUUCGGUGUUCCCCAUGAUAUCAACGGAUUUCACCCCUACUCCAUGAGUUCCACACAUCCCUGCCAUCCUCUAGUCGCGCCGUUUCAGUCGCGGUUCCGGGGUUAAGCCCCGGGUUUUGACGACUGACUAACGCGACCACCUACACACCCUUUACGCCCAAUGAUUCCGGAUAACGCUCGGGGCACUCGUAUUACCGCGGCUGCUGGCAC